RNAcentral lists this ribosomal RNA (404 nucleotides) under uncultured bacterium. RNAcentral describes it as "bacterial SSU rRNA". It matches the Rfam family "Bacterial small subunit ribosomal RNA", at positions 362 to 758 of the family's 1533-position model. The record is from RNAcentral.
UUUUGGACAAUGGGGGAAACCCUGAUCCAGCAAUGCCGCGUGAGUGAAGAAGGCCUUCGGGUUGUAAAGCUCUUUUGUCAGGGACGAAACACCGGCUCUAACACAGUCCGGGAAUGACGGUACCUGAAGAAUAAGCACCGGCUAACUACGUGCCAGCAGCCGCGGUAAUACGUAGGGUGCAAGCGUUAAUCGGAAUUACUGGGCGUAAAGCGUGCGCAGGCGGUUAUACAAGACAGGCGUGAAAUCCCCGGGCUUAACCUGGGAAUGGCGCCUGUGACUGUAUAGCUAGAGUGUGUCAGAGGGGGGUAGAAUUCCACGUGUAGCAGUGAAAUGCGUAGAUAUGUGGAGGAAUACCAAUGGCGAAGGCGAGCCCCCUGGGAUGACACUGACGCUCAUGCACGAAG